This 531-nucleotide long non-coding RNA is filed under the name Fukomys damarensis (Damara mole-rat). RNAcentral describes it as "lncRNA (ENSFDAG00000029750.1)". Lineage: Eukaryota; Metazoa; Chordata; Mammalia; Rodentia; Bathyergidae. The record is from RNAcentral.
AUUUUUCAAUUAAAAUGAAGAACUGUUUUUGUGUGUUGCAGGUACAUUUCACGCAGUUGCCUUGUGGGACUUUGAGAGAUGCUGCAGCCCGUGACAUGUGGGAAUUAUCAUGAUCAACUACUCAGUUUGGAUUUCACCCAGUGGCCAAGAGCCUUGCAUACUAAAUAGCAAGGGUUGGAUUUUUAAAAAGAGUGAACCAGCUUUCUUUCUGAAAAUGAAGUGAAUGAAACUCAGUAUAUUACAGCCUAAAAUAACUGUUCGGAUGUACACAAGGACUUCCAAAGUGUUUGAAAACAAUCCAUUCGGUAAUGCUUUAACAAACACCUCUUUCUAAUACCUAAUGUCUUAUGUGUCUAUAAGAACAUCUUAAACCCAGAUUUGAAAUGUGUUGGAAAUACUGUAGAUUACCAAACUCAUGGUACAAGUCUUUAUUUGAUGAACUGAACUAGUGGAUAACUUUUAGUCCUUUUUAGUGACAAAGGGGGUCACUGACAUUGAGAAGAGGUUUACUGGUGCACGAAUAAAAGGGGA